Molecule: transfer RNA, 71 nt
Filed under: Loxodonta africana (African savanna elephant)
Lineage: Eukaryota; Metazoa; Chordata; Mammalia; Proboscidea; Elephantidae
Rfam family: tRNA
About the family: Transfer RNA (tRNA) molecules are approximately 80 nucleotides in length. Their secondary structure includes four short double-helical elements and three loops (D, anti-codon, and T loops).
Source: Rfam by way of RNAcentral
GCAUCUGUUGCUAAGUGGUAGAAUUCUCACUUUCCACGUAGGAGACCUAGGUUCGAUUCCCAGCGAAUGCC